UACGAAGGGGGCUAGCGUUGUUCGGAUUUACUGGGCGUAAAGCGCACGUAGGCGGAUCGUUAAGUCAGGGGUGAAAUCCUGGAGCUCAACUCCAGAACUGCCUUUGAUACUGGCGAUCUUGAGUCCGGAAGAGGUGAGUGGAACUCCUAGUGUAGAGGUGGAAUUCGUAGAUAUUAGGAAGAACACCAGUGGCGAAGGCGGCUCACUGGUCCGGUACUGACGCUGAGGUGCGAAAAGCGUGGGGAGCAAACAGG
RNAcentral lists this ribosomal RNA (254 nucleotides) under uncultured bacterium. Its description in RNAcentral is "partial 16S ribosomal RNA". It matches the Rfam family "Bacterial small subunit ribosomal RNA", at positions 524 to 776 of the family's 1533-position model. The record is from RNAcentral.